UGGUUAGGCUUUAGAAGUUUG
RNAcentral lists this non-coding RNA (21 nucleotides) under Caenorhabditis elegans. The record is from RNAcentral. Lineage: Eukaryota; Metazoa; Nematoda; Chromadorea; Rhabditida; Rhabditidae.